Molecule: small RNA, 1019 nt
Filed under: Pongo abelii (Sumatran orangutan)
Lineage: Eukaryota; Metazoa; Chordata; Mammalia; Primates; Hominidae
Description: retained intron
Source: RNAcentral
UCUGGGGGGUGGGAAAGCGGCUCCUUCCCGCCUCUGUUCAGCGGGGCAUGCAGUGCUGUGGUUUUUUCCCUGGGCAGGCUGACACAUUGUGGCCUCCAAGCAAAGCACCUAGAGCAGCUCUGCAAGGCUCUGGGAGGAAGCUGCCACCUCGGUCACCUCCACCUCGACUUCUCAGGCAAUGCUCUGGGGGAUGAAGGUGCAGCCCAGCUGGCUCAGCUGCUCCCAGGGCUGGGAGCUCUGCAGUCCUUGAACCUCAGUGAGAACGGUUUGUCCCUGGAUGCCGUGUUGGGUUUGGCUCAGUGCUUCUCCACUCUGCAGUGGCUCUUCCACUUGGACAUCAGCUUUGAGAGCCAACACAUUCUCCUGAGAGGGGACAAGACAGGCAGCCUCAGUGAGUGUCCUCUGGAGCCCCCAAGCCUCACCCGCCUCUGUGCCACUCUGAAGGACUGCCCGGGACCCUUGGAACUCCAAUUGUCCUGCGAGUUCCUGAGUGACCAGAGCCUGGAGACUCUGCUGGACUGCCUACCUCAACUCCCUCAGCUGAGCCUGCUGCAGCUGAGCCAGACGGGACUGUCCCUGAAAAGCCCCUUCCUGCUGGCCAACACCUUAAGCCUGUGUCCACGGGUUAAAAAGGUGGAUCUCAGGUCCCUACACCAUGCAACCUUGCACUUCAGAUCCAACGAGGAGGAGGAAGGCGUGUGCUGUGGGUUCACGGGCUGCAGCCUCAGCCAGGAGCAUGUGGAGUCACUGUGCUGGUUGCUGAGCAAGUGUAAAGACCUCAGCCAGGUGGAUCUGAGUCACAACAGCGUUUCUCAGGAAAGUGCCCUGUACCUGGUGGAGACCCUGCCCUCCUGCCCACGUGUCCGGGAGGCCUCAGUGAACCUGGGCUCUGAGCAGAGCUUCCGGAUUCACUUCUCCAGAGAGGACCAGGCUGGGAAGACACUCAGGCUGAGUGAGUGCAGCUUCCGGCCAGAGCAUGUGUCCAGGCUGGCCACCGGCUUGAGCCAGUCCCUGCAGCU